ACUCAAAUGAAUAGACGGGGACCCGCACAAGCGGUGGAGCAUGUGGUUUAAUUCGAAGCUACGCGAAGAACCUUACCAAGGUUUGACAUCCCGCGAAUCUGCUGGAAACAGCGGAGUGCCGUAAGGAGCGCGGUGACAGGUGCUGCAUGGCCGUCGUCAGCUCGUGUCGUGAGAUGUUGGGUUAAGUCCCGCAACGAGCGCAACCCUUAUCGUCUGUUGUAUUUUUCAGGCGAGACUGCCCGGGGCAACCGGGAGGAAGGUGGGGAUGAUGUCAGGUCAGCAUGGCCCUUACACCUUGGGCUACACACGUGCUACAAUGGCCGGUACAAUGAGCUGCCAACCCGUGAGGGGGAGCUAAUCUCAUCAAAACCGGUCCCAGUUCGGAUAGAAGGCUGCAACUCGCCUUCUUGAAGUUGGAAUCGCUAGUAAACGUGGGUCAGCAUACCACGUUGAAUACGUUCCCGGGUCUUGCACACACCGCCCGU
This 485-nucleotide ribosomal RNA is filed under the name uncultured bacterium. RNAcentral's name for it is "partial 16S ribosomal RNA". It matches the Rfam family "Bacterial small subunit ribosomal RNA", at positions 899 to 1397 of the family's 1533-position model. The record is from RNAcentral.